GGGGCUGACUUCAGCUUUCGACAUUGGGACUUUAACAGACUGCACCCGCACACCGACCUCUGACGUAAUCAGAAUCAAUAGUUGCAAACACAUUUGCACAGCGAGUGAAGAGCUUUUUCCAAGUUCCUUCAUUCGCGCCAGCUCUGGUUUAAUCACCAAGCCGUACGAACCUAGAUUUCUACUAUAGGUGCGUGCGUCAUAUUUCGUAGAAUCGCCAACAAUCGCUAUCGGGACGAUCACUGGUUAAACGUUAUCUCGACCCAUUCCGCUGUAUGUUUGUCAUAUUUUGAGCAGUAGGGAUGGCUAAACCCAUGAAUAUGACUAUGUGUGUAGACGGACAGUAGGUUUCCUAAUGGACCCGGGGGCAGUGCCCGGCAGCUCCACCA
Molecule: transfer-messenger RNA, 386 nt
Filed under: Candidatus Saccharibacteria bacterium 32-50-10
Lineage: Bacteria; Candidatus Saccharimonadota
Also listed under: 1 other name
Rfam family: transfer-messenger RNA
About the family: Bacterial tmRNA, also known as 10Sa RNA or SsrA, is named for its dual tRNA and mRNA-like properties.
Source: RNAcentral